Molecule: long non-coding RNA, 327 nt
Filed under: Brachypodium distachyon (stiff brome)
Lineage: Eukaryota; Viridiplantae; Streptophyta; Magnoliopsida; Poales; Poaceae
Description: long non-coding RNA (BDIS_LNC001463)
Source: RNAcentral
CCCCCCCCUUUUUUUUCCCUUUUUACCCUUUUCUUUUUCUGUUUUUCUCAUUUCUUUGAUAUCUUUUGAGUUUGAACUCCAAAUUGGUCCAAAUAAAUCCCAGAAAAUUUGUAAAAUCAUGUUCUACCAUGAUACAACUUUUGGAAGUAGUUUCUCUUCAAAAUAAAAUAUAUAAAUAUACAUUUGCCCUAUAAAUGCCUUUAGGGCUAUAUAUCCAUUUAAAUAAAAUACUUUUUCAACUCCAAAUAAUUAUCCAAAAAUUAUGGGAUAGCUUAUAUACGCAAUAAACCCCUUUUAUACUUAAACCUUAAUGGUUUGAAGAUCCAA